CCUACGGGAGGCUGCAGUGGGGAAUAUUGGGCAAUGGGCGCAAGCCUGACCCAGCAACGCCGCGUGAAGGAAGAAGGCCCUCGGGUUGUAAACUUCUUUUGUCAGGGACGAAACAAAUGACGGUACCUGACGAAUAAGCCACGGCUAACUACGUGCCAGCAGUCGCGGUAAUACGUAGGUGGCAAUCGUUAUCCGGAUUUACUGGGUGUAAAGGGCGUGUAGGCGGGAGAGCAAGUCAGAUGUGAAAUUCCAGGGCUCAACCCUGGAACUGCAGUUGAAACUGGUUGUCUUGAGUGGUGGAGAGGCAGGCGGAAUUCCGUGUGUAGCGGUGAAAUGCGUAGAUAUACGGAGGAACACCAGUGGCGAAGGCAGCCUGCUGGACAUUAACUGACGCUGAGGCGCGAAAGCGUGGGGAGCAAACAGGAUUAGAUACCCCUGUAGUC
RNAcentral lists this ribosomal RNA (443 nucleotides) under uncultured bacterium. RNAcentral's name for it is "partial 16S ribosomal RNA". It matches the Rfam family "Bacterial small subunit ribosomal RNA", at positions 338 to 795 of the family's 1533-position model. The record is from RNAcentral.